Molecule: long non-coding RNA, 269 nt
Filed under: Elaeis guineensis (African oil palm)
Lineage: Eukaryota; Viridiplantae; Streptophyta; Magnoliopsida; Arecales; Arecaceae
Description: long non-coding RNA (EGUI_LNC053784)
Source: RNAcentral
CUGCUGGCCUUUUGCACCGGUCCACCGUGGACCGGGCGGUCCACGGUUGGGCCUGUGGACCGCGUGGGUGUUUCUCAUGCAUUUCACAUGGUCCACGGUACUAUUUCAUGGAUCGGUCAUGAUCGGACGGCCCAGGGAGAUUCCGGUGACGAUCCGAUGGUUGAGGAGGUUGAUUUGGCUUGUUUAGGACUCUUAAACCUAAUCUAAUUAGGUUUAAACUCUAUUUAAUCCUUUAAAAGGGCCCUGUGACGAAUAGUGAAGCAAGUGGU